GAGGAUUUAGCUUAAUUAAAGUGAAUGAUUUGCGUUCAUUUGAUGUAGGGAGAAGUCCUACAGUCCUUA
RNAcentral lists this transfer RNA (69 nucleotides) under Acomys sp. RNAcentral's name for it is "tRNA-Ala". It matches the Rfam family "tRNA". From Rfam's summary of the family: Transfer RNA (tRNA) molecules are approximately 80 nucleotides in length. Their secondary structure includes four short double-helical elements and three loops (D, anti-codon, and T loops). The record is from RNAcentral. Lineage: Eukaryota; Metazoa; Chordata; Mammalia; Rodentia; Muridae.